UUGACCUCAAAUCAGGUAGGACUACCCGCUGAACUUAAGCAUAUCAAUAAGCGGAGGAAAAGAAACUAACAAGGAUUCCCCUAGUAACUGCGAGUGAAGCGGGAAAAGCUCAAAUUUAAAAUCUGGCGGUYCUUGURGCCGUCCGAGUUGUAAUUUAGAGAAGUGUUAUCCGCGCUGGACCGUGUACAAGUCUCCUGGAAUGGAGCGUCAUAGAGGGUGAGAAUCCCGUCUUUGACACGGACUGCCAGGGCUUUGUGAUGCGCUCUCGAAGAGUCGAGUUGUUUGGGAAUGCAGCUCAAAAUGGGUGGUAAAUUCCAUCUAAAGCUAAAUAUUGGGGAGAGACCGAUAGCGAACAAGUACCGUGAGGGAAAGAUGAAAAGAACUUUGGAAAGAGAGUUAAACAGUACGUGAAAUUGCUGAAAGGGAAACGCUUGAAGUCAGUCGCGUCGUUCAGGACUCAGCCUUGCUUUUGCUUGGUGUACUUCUUGUUCGACGGGUCAGCAUCAAUUUUGGUCGGUGGAUAAAGGCUUAGAGAAUGUGGCAUCUUCGGGUGUGUUAUAGCUCUGGGUCGCAUACAUCGGCUGGGAUUGAGGAACUCAGCACGCCGCAAGGCCGGGUACUUGUACCACGUACGUGC
This 637-nucleotide ribosomal RNA is filed under the name Mycena cf. epipterygia UBC F15203. RNAcentral describes it as "eukaryotic LSU rRNA". It matches the Rfam family "Eukaryotic large subunit ribosomal RNA", at positions 1 to 618 of the family's 3401-position model. Lineage: Eukaryota; Fungi; Basidiomycota; Agaricomycetes; Agaricales; Mycenaceae. The record is from RNAcentral.